This 554-nucleotide ribosomal RNA is filed under the name uncultured bacterium. Its description in RNAcentral is "partial 16S ribosomal RNA". It matches the Rfam family "Bacterial small subunit ribosomal RNA", at positions 355 to 925 of the family's 1533-position model. The record is from RNAcentral.
UGGGGAAUAUUGCACAAUGGGCGAAAGCCUGAUGCAGCAACGCCGCGUGAGUGAUGAAGGCCUUCGGGUUGUAAAGCUCUGUCUUUUGGGACGAUAAUGACGGUACCAAAGGAGGAAGCCACGGCUAACUACGUGCCAGCAGCCGCGGUAAUACGUAGGUGGCAAGCGUUGUCCGGAUUUACUGGGCGUAAAGGAUGCGUAGGCGGAUUUUUAAGUGAGAUGUGAAAACCCUAAGCUUAACUUGGGGACUGCAUUUCAUACUGGAAAUCUAGAGUGCGGGAGAGGAGGAUGGAAUUCCUAGUGUAGCGGUGAAAUGCGUAGAGAUUAGGAAGAACACCAGUGGCGAAGGCGAUUCUCUGGACCGUAACUGACGCUGAGGCAUGAAAGCGUGGGUAGCAAACAGGAUUAGAUACCCUGGUAGUCCACGCCGUAAACGAUGAGUACUAGGUGUAGGAGGUAUCGACCCCUUCUGUGCCGCAGUUAACACAAUAAGUACUCCGCCUGGGAAGUACGAUCGCAAGAUUAAAACUUAAAGGAAUUGACGGGGUCAUAGC